UUUUCGGAGAGUUUGAUCCUGGCUCAGAAUGAACGCUGGCGGCGUGGUUAAGACAUGCAAGUCGAACGGUUUUUCAGGUGUAGCAAUACAUUGGAAAGCAGUGGCGAACGGGUGCGUAACACGUGAACAAUCUACCUUUUAGUGGGGAAUAGCUCGUCGAAAGGCGAAUUAAUACCGCAUACGAUUAUGGCUCUCAUGAGUUGUAUAUUAAAGUCGGGGACCGCAAGGCCGACGCUAGGAGAGGAGUUCGCGGCCUAUCAGCUAGUUGGUGAGGUAACGGCCCACCAAGGCUAAGACGGGUAG
Molecule: non-coding RNA, 303 nt
Filed under: Beta vulgaris subsp. vulgaris (sugar beet)
Lineage: Eukaryota; Viridiplantae; Streptophyta; Magnoliopsida; Caryophyllales; Amaranthaceae
Description: Bacterial small subunit ribosomal RNA
Rfam family: Bacterial small subunit ribosomal RNA
Source: Rfam by way of RNAcentral